RNAcentral lists this long non-coding RNA (1357 nucleotides) under Oryzias javanicus (javanese ricefish). Its description in RNAcentral is "lncRNA (ENSOJAG00000018937.1)". Lineage: Eukaryota; Metazoa; Chordata; Actinopteri; Beloniformes; Adrianichthyidae. The record is from RNAcentral.
UACAGCUGUGCCGCGGGGACAAGAACUCAGAGUCGCUCCGAUCCGUUCAGCCUUGCAGGUGGAGGCGGAGUCUGAAGGUGGGCGUGUCCCAGUUGUGUUGAAGGUUUUAGGAUUCUUCCUGCUGGAGGAAACCAAAGAAGGUUGUUUCUAAACCAUUGAUUAAUGGAAGAUGAUGGAUUGAGAGAUUUAUGAUGACAGCAGACAAACCAACCUGAAUACUCUGAUUACUCUUUUCUCCAUUAACUGUAACCUCAUGGCAGUAGACUCCGUUGAAGGUGUCCUCUUCCUCUGCAUCUUUCAGCGUUUACUCUUUAUUGUGAUAUCCAGUCGAACAGACAAAGAGCUGGAGGAGUUCAGUCAGACGUUUCCUCUUUGCUGAACGAGAGUGAAAGUUCUGAAACCGGAUGUUCUGCAGGAGAAACGUCUUACGUGAUCCUGGGUGUGGUGAGCGCCGUCCUGCUGGUGGUCGUCGCUUUCAUCGCUCUCUUCUUUAUCAUUAAAAGGAGGCGAUCAGCUGUGGGGCGGAGCGCUGAGGGAAGACAGCGCGGUGACGUGGUUCUGCCGUCCGGACCUGGAGCAGAUCAGAGGACAGACCGGUACACGGAGGACGUCAGCUACGCCGCCGUUCACUUCAAACAAAACAAACCCAGCAGGUAGGAGACGCAGACUCUUUAGUCUGUGAAACCGCAGUGAACGUUCAUGAUGUUCACGUGACCACCGUGGUCCUCUGGUGUCAGGACAGUUUGACGUUCAUCUGAACAGCUCUGAGCUCACUGCAGAUGCAGAAUGACCGAUAAGACGAGCCUCUUUCCUCUUUCAGAGAGCUGCAGCCGCAGGCAGACGAUGUGGUCUACUCUGCGGUGGUCACUCGAGGUUGAAGACCUUCAGGAUCCAGACAGCAGCACAGGAAGACGCCGCUGUGUCAAAAUCUAAAAAGUUCCAUCAAAAAUAACCUUCCUUUUUUAUUAGCUCUUAUCUCGUCUCCACUGUCCCUCUCAAAACUGUGUAAAUAUCUAUAAAUUAUUGUAUUUUUCAAAGGAUUUUACAUGUUUUUCCUUAUUUAAAACAUUUUUGUGCAUUUGUUCUUGAAUGUGAUGUUUUUGUUUAACGUUCUACAAAAAAAAUCAAUAAAAAGGUUUAUUCUGUUUUCUGUCACAGCUGGAAGAAUUUAUUCAAGUCCAUUUAUCAUGAAACUGUAUAUUUUCAGCUACAGUUGAUGAUAUUUAUUGUGAUUUGUUUCUUGGGCUCCGUUUGUUCUGAGGACGCUCAUCAUUUCUGCAGAGAAAGGAAGUCUCUGCAUCAGCAGUAAAAGGUUUCUGUCAUCAAAUGUCCAACAAUCUGAACAGUUUUUGGUUUG